RNAcentral lists this ribosomal RNA (484 nucleotides) under uncultured bacterium. RNAcentral's name for it is "partial 16S ribosomal RNA". It matches the Rfam family "Bacterial small subunit ribosomal RNA", at positions 28 to 523 of the family's 1533-position model. The record is from RNAcentral.
GACGAACGCUGGCGGCGUGCUUAACACAUGCAAGUCGAACGAUGAAGCUGGAGCUUGCUCCGGUGGAUUAGUGGCGAACGGGUGAGUAACACGUGAGUAAUCUGCCCUUGACUCUGGGAUAACUGCGGGAAACUGUAGCUAAUACCGGAUACGACACCUUCGGGCAUCCGAUGGGUGUGGGAAGAAUUUCGGUCAAGGAUGAACUCGCGGCCUAUCAGCUAGUUGGUGAGGUAAUGGCUCACCAAGGCGACGACGGGUAGCCGGCCUGAGAGGGUGACCGGCCACACUGGGACUGAGACACGGCCCAGACUCCUACGGGAGGCAGCAGUGGGGAAUAUCGCACAAUGGGCGAAAGCCUGAUGCAGCAACGCCGCGUGAGGGAUGAAGGCCUUCGGGUUGUAAACCUCUUUCAGUUGGGAAGAAGCGAAAGUGACGGUACCAACAGAAAAAGCACCGGCUAACUACGUGCCAGCAGCCGCAGUAA